RNAcentral lists this non-coding RNA (99 nucleotides) under uncultured eukaryote. The record is from RNAcentral.
AUGCUCCAUGCCGCACCGCGCCAGGCCGGCAACAGCGGAGGCGACGGGGAGGCGAAGAGCAGAGCAGCCCCCCCCCCGGCUCUGAGCCCGGACUGCGAU